This 1512-nucleotide ribosomal RNA is filed under the name Klebsiella pneumoniae. Its description in RNAcentral is "SSU rRNA". It matches the Rfam family "Bacterial small subunit ribosomal RNA". The record is from RNAcentral. Lineage: Bacteria; Pseudomonadati; Pseudomonadota; Gammaproteobacteria; Enterobacterales; Enterobacteriaceae.
UUAAAUUGAAGAGUUUGAUCAUGGCUCAGAUUGAACGCUGGCGGCAGGCCUAACACAUGCAAGUCGAGCGGUAGCACAGAGAGCUUGCUCUCGGGUGACGAGCGGCGGACGGGUGAGUAAUGUCUGGGAAACUGCCUGAUGGAGGGGGAUAACUACUGGAAACGGUAGCUAAUACCGCAUAAUGUCGCAAGACCAAAGUGGGGGACCUUCGGGCCUCAUGCCAUCAGAUGUGCCCAGAUGGGAUUAGCUAGUAGGUGGGGUAACGGCUCACCUAGGCGACGAUCCCUAGCUGGUCUGAGAGGAUGACCAGCCACACUGGAACUGAGACACGGUCCAGACUCCUACGGGAGGCAGCAGUGGGGAAUAUUGCACAAUGGGCGCAAGCCUGAUGCAGCCAUGCCGCGUGUGUGAAGAAGGCCUUCGGGUUGUAAAGCACUUUCAGCGGGGAGGAAGGCGAUAAGGUUAAUAACCUUGUCGAUUGACGUUACCCGCAGAAGAAGCACCGGCUAACUCCGUGCCAGCAGCCGCGGUAAUACGGAGGGUGCAAGCGUUAAUCGGAAUUACUGGGCGUAAAGCGCACGCAGGCGGUCUGUCAAGUCGGAUGUGAAAUCCCCGGGCUCAACCUGGGAACUGCAUUCGAAACUGGCAGGCUAGAGUCUUGUAGAGGGGGGUAGAAUUCCAGGUGUAGCGGUGAAAUGCGUAGAGAUCUGGAGGAAUACCGGUGGCGAAGGCGGCCCCCUGGACAAAGACUGACGCUCAGGUGCGAAAGCGUGGGGAGCAAACAGGAUUAGAUACCCUGGUAGUCCACGCCGUAAACGAUGUCGAUUUGGAGGUUGUGCCCUUGAGUGCGUGGCUUCCGGAGCUAACGCGUUAAAUCGACCGCCUGGGGAGUACGGCCGCAAGGUUAAAACUCAAAUGAAUUGACGGGGGCCCGCACAAGCGGUGGAGCAUGUGGUUUAAUUCGAUGCAACGCGAAGAACCUUACCUGGUCUUGACAUCCACAGAACUUUCCAGAGAUGGAUUGGUGCCUUCGGGAACUGUGAGACAGGUGCUGCAUGGCUGUCGUCAGCUCGUGUUGUGAAAUGUUGGGUUAAGUCCCGCAACGAGCGCAACCCUUAUCCUUUGUUGCCAGCGGUUAGGCCGGGAACUCAAAGGAGACUGCCAGUGAUAAACUGGAGGAAGGUGGGGAUGACGUCAAGUCAUCAUGGCCCUUACGACCAGGGCUACACACGUGCUACAAUGGCAUAUACAAAGAGAAGCGACCUCGCGAGAGCAAGCGGACCUCAUAAAGUAUGUCGUAGUCCGGAUUGGAGUCUGCAACUCGACUCCAUGAAGUCGGAAUCGCUAGUAAUCGUAGAUCAGAAUGCUACGGUGAAUACGUUCCCGGGCCUUGUACACACCGCCCGUCACACCAUGGGAGUGGGUUGCAAAAGAAGUAGGUAGCUUAACCUUCGGGAGGGCGCUUACCACUUUGUGAUUCAUGACUGGGGUGAAGUCGUAACAAGGUAACCG